UAGCUCCUUAUAAUAACUUUUCAAGCAUUCUAGUUACAACUGCUCUUCAAGAGAAACAAUUGAAAGUGUAAUUAGUCACUGCCCAUGUUAUAUUAAAACUGACUAUAACAGUCAAGUAUUUAAGUGGUUUUGUCAACAAUUUAAUAAUUCUCAAAGACAAGGUAUUGUGGAACUUUAAAAACUCUAUCUUCUUAAAAACAAAGAAGGGGAGAAAUUAUACCCCCAUGCACAUUAUUUAAAUCAUACUUUUAUUUUUAAGAAUUUUGAAAUUUAGAUGUCAAAGAACUUAAGAAAUGCCUCAUAGUAUCCUAAAACUAGACAUAAUCAUGUCUAGGUGAGAUGAAAAGGAUCCACUUAAUGGCACAUGGCAUGAUCCUGAACAGAAAGUUAAUAUGGGGGAGAGAGGGGUGUUUCUGUUUUUUCCACAGAAUGCUGCAGAAGCAUGCUAGCUUCCAGAAUGAUUUGUGUGACAGACUGACCUGUGAGUUCCUGAAUGCCCUGACAGUGGUGACAAGAAAGCUGUGUUGAGCGCACAGAGAAAGAGGAAUAAAGGAGAGCAGUCACUUGCAAACAAGAUGAAGAAACUUCCUAUCUCCGCCAUGGGCUACAACAAGGAGAACCUAUUUCUGCAGUGAUCUUGGCAGUAAUCCUGGGCUUAGUUGCCGCAGGUGCAGGAACUGGCAUUGCCUCUUUGGUCACCUCCCAACAGCAAUACACCCAGCUUAGCCUUGCUGUGGACAGAGAUAUACAAGAGUUAUAAAGGGGCUUGAAAAAGUUAAAAGACUCCCUGGUCUCUCUGUCUGAGGUAGUGUUACAGAAUAGACGAGGCCUUGAUUUAAUGUCCCUACAAGAGGGAGGGCUAUGUGCAGCCCUCAAAGAAGAAUGUUGUUUUUAUUCUGAUAAGACUGGCUUAGUUCAAGAUAGCAUAGACAAAGUUAGAACUAGUUUAGAAGAGAGAAAACAUAACAGAGAGAAACAAGAAUAUUGGUAUCAAAAUUGGUUUUAUACUUCUCCUUGGCUCACUACCCUACUUCCCAGCCUUUUGGGACCUUUCGUGAGCAUUUUACUGCUUUUGUCUUUUGGCCCUUGGGCCUUUAAUAGAUUAAUAAGUUUUGUUUAGUCACAGAUUGAAGCUCCUUUAAGCAAGCCGGUUGCAGUUCGCUACCAUCGACUGGAUAACCAAGACUCAGACGAAGAUCUCCCUUCCACCGAUGCAGAAAGAGCAGCUGCUGGCCUUCAGUUUUUCACCCUUGCUGCAAAUGCAGAGUCCCCUUGGUUCCCCAAGCCAUGGAGACAAUAGAGAUGAGGAAGGUGACCUCCAGCUUCUAAUAUAGCCUAAGAGCCACAAAUUGUGGUGUUACAAUUGGCAUAAUUCUUGUAGAGGCCUUGCUGAAUCUGAGGUUGACAAUUCUCCUUUAGGAGCUGCACAGGACUCAGACCUGUGCAUACUGGUUUGUGAUAAAAUGAAUUCAGUAUGGGCACCAGCGUAGGUACAAGGCUAAGCACUGCAGGGGAAGGUCUAACUAGACCGUUUCUGAGUUCCCUGAGAGACACACACGGUUAGCACGGAGGUUAGUAUCUAGUUCCAGUUACAACCAAAGAAUCUUUCUAAGGCUCUGCCUCCCCUCCCCAAAAGAUACCAAGAGCCAUGAGUGUGGGUCGUGAUAGCACCCACGGGAGGAAUCAGGUCAAUGCUCCCCCAGCAAUGGUUAAUGCCCACUCAUCCAAGGGUGAGAAGAUCAUUUGAUCACCUCAGUUAAGUGUGACCUUAUUAAAAUUAAUUCAAAGGGGGGAGAUGUUGGAGACCAUACUGUGAGAAAGUAGGCCUUUCACAGCUUCCCAUCCUAAUAAGCCAAAUGGCCUUGUGUUAAGGAGCUGGUCACCCCCUCCUCCUUAUUCCCUUCCUGGCACCUGAGGCAGUAAAAAGCAGAAUUAUAGUCCCCUCUUCCUUAUCUCUUCCUGACUCCCAAGACUUCUAAGGACAUGAGUUAUGUGCUGAGCCCAGCCUGACACCCAAGGCUGUUAAGGAGGGAUCUACAUUCUGGAGAUAAGACUCAGAGUGCCUCCCGCCUGCAGUUUGAAUUUGGCCUUCAUUUCCCCAGAUGCCCACUUCUUUGUUCUUAGUUAAUCACCCCUCAACCCCUCCCUAUUCCCCUUGUUGUGUGCUUAAAACCUGGCAUUUCAGCCUAAUAAACUGAGACCUUGACAGGAAUCCUCCACUCAUGAAAGCCAGAUUAUGGAGCCAGCUAGCAUUUGGAAUGAAUAAGGAAAAUGUGUUCUAUAUCCAUCAUGACAUUUUAUUCAGGCACUUUGAAAGAAGAAAUCACGUCACUUUGGGAAAAUGGGUGGACUGUGAGACACUCAGCGAAAGUAAACAUGACUUAAUUCCAAGCUACAUUGCAGGCUGGAGAGAUGGCUUGACGGUGAAGAGCGCUUCUCUGCAACAACUCCCUGCUUCUGAUCUGUUGGACACUGGCUUCAUAGAGUAAACUCCUUCACCAGGUGUGGUGACUCACACCUGUAAUCGCAGCACUGCCAGCCUGAGGCAGGAGAUUUGCUGCAAGUUACAGUUAGCCUAACCCCUACCCUAACUGUGCUGGUGUAUGAGGCCCUGACUCAAGAAAGAAGAUCUUCUUCUUUAAAAGAACAAAACCAAACCAAACCAACCAAACAAACAAACAAACAAAACGAGCUAAUUGUUUAGAGAUGGCUCUUUUGGGAGACUAGGGUUCAAUUCCCAGAGCUCACAGGUGUCAUUAACUCAAGUUCCAAAGUAUCUGACACCCUAAUACAGACAUUUAUGCAGGCAAAGCAAUAAUACACACGAAAUUAAUGUAAAUU
Molecule: long non-coding RNA, 2841 nt
Filed under: Mus musculus (house mouse)
Lineage: Eukaryota; Metazoa; Chordata; Mammalia; Rodentia; Muridae
Description: long non-coding RNA chr7:27780628-27783469
Source: RNAcentral